This 497-nucleotide ribosomal RNA is filed under the name uncultured bacterium. RNAcentral's name for it is "partial 16S ribosomal RNA". It matches the Rfam family "Bacterial small subunit ribosomal RNA", at positions 28 to 507 of the family's 1533-position model. The record is from RNAcentral.
GACGAACGCUGGCGGCGUGCUUAACACAUGCAAGUCGAGCGGAAAGACGCGGCUUUUGUUCCUUUCUCGAUUGCGGAGCAGGGGAGUGACACGUGUGGAACCUGCACUUAUCAGUCUGAGAUCUUCAGGGAACUGGGGCUAUUAUAGCGGAUAAUCUCCUGCUGCGUGUGGUUCGUUGGAGAGUUUCGGCUUUGGUGGAUCUACUCGCUGGUUCCGCGCCGCAUUAGCUAGUUGGUAAGGUACCGGCUUACCAAGGCAACGAUGCGUAGCCGACCUGAGAGGGUGAUCGGCCACACUGGAACUGAGACACGGUCCAGACUCCUACGGUAGGCAGCAGUAGGGAAUCUUCCGCAAUGGGCGAAAGCCUGACGGAGCAACGCCGCGUGAGUGAUGAAGGUCUUCGGAUCGUAAAACUCUGUUAUUAGGGAAGAACAAAUGUGUAAGUAACUAUGCACGUCUUGACGGUACCUAAUCAGAAGGCCACGGCUAACUACGUG